This is a long non-coding RNA of Microtus ochrogaster (prairie vole), 718 nucleotides long. RefSeq lists it as uncharacterized. The record is from RefSeq and is a predicted model, not a curated record. The transcript is spliced from 3 exons. NCBI's taxonomy places the organism in Eukaryota, Metazoa, Chordata, Mammalia, Rodentia, Cricetidae.
ACAGUAGCAACAGCAUCCUGUCGUGUUAACGCAGUGGCUGAAAGAGGCUGAAUCAUUACAGAGCAGCAGAACCAUCACAUGUAGUCCCAGGGCAGUGGAAGAUAAAUGCUCAAGCCUUAGGAAAAUCUGCACUAAACACACUGUUCUGAACGGCACAACUCUACUGCUUUGCAACACACACAAGUCUUUUCAAACAGCCAGGAGGAAUUCUUUCCCCAGUGAAAAGAUCCUUGACGAAGCAAACCAACCCCGCAUGCUGUUUCCUGAUCACUCACGGGACAGACGAGGGCCAGGAGAAAGCCAUUUCCUCUCUGGGACACAGAUGCUAUGCCCACUUGGAGGAGAAAUCAAGACGCCAUGCUUUGCCCUGUCUUACCCACUGGAAUGAUCUUGGAGAAGAAAAUUUUACUCAGUUUUUUAAAACUAUUUCUGUGAGAGGCCAUAUAUUCAUAUCGAUUGCCUUUAUGUCUCUGUGCUCAGUUUGAAACCACGAUGAUCAACUAUACUUAAGCGAAUUUGUCCUUCAUAUGCAAUUCAAGCAGGCAGCGUGGAAUGUGAGACCGUGUGGAGAGUUCUUUUGGUUUAGUUUAUUUUACUAUUACAAUGCUGAUGUUACAUUCCUGUAAGUGCAGUGUGGAGUUAAAUACAAAUCCAUUUCCAGAGGUUGGAAACUUUUCAGUUUUGCUGUUUUAAAGGAAGCAUAAUUGUACAUAUUUAU